Molecule: long non-coding RNA, 1763 nt
Organism: Micropterus salmoides (largemouth bass)
Lineage: Eukaryota; Metazoa; Chordata; Actinopteri; Centrarchiformes; Centrarchidae
Exons: 3
Source: RefSeq, a predicted model, not a curated record
UGAAAAUUUAAAGGGAGACAGAUGCAAAGUUCAGAUUCAGACUGCUGAAUCACGCGUAAUGCGUAUAAUACGAACGUGUUUUAUUGAAGUAUGUGCUAUAUGUGGCUGCAGUUAUUUUGUUACGCAAUUAGCCUACAAGUGAAUUCUGCAAUGCGUUUCUACAUGCUACUAGGAAACCAUUUCGGUUACAGUCUAUGGGUCAUUCGCCAUUCAGCGAACACGUGUACAGCCUGCCAUCUAGUGGAGAGUCGGGGUUAGUUUUCUCACGUUUCCUUGAUGACUUUUCCCAGACACUUAAUUACACUUUUGUGGUUUUGCUUUCUAAUUUCAACCAAUUUAUGGCUUUUAGGUACACGAGAUGAUUAUGUAAUGACAGAAGUAAAAAAAAAAAAAGUGUUGUCAGGCCUCCUGUAGCUCCUGGGUUUUGAUUAAGGAGCCAUCUGUCCUGUUUGAUUUAAGAUUAAGAACUCCUCCAUCUGAUGUCUUCAGUCUUGAUUAGAUUCUGGAUUAUACCUGAGACAGAACAUGAAGUUCACAACAAAGAUUAUGUGUUUUUCUUUCCCAGUCAGGGGGGUUGUUUAACAAUAAUCAUACAAUAAUUACAUUUCUUAAAAAAUUUCUUUACAAAAUACUGACUCAUAACACUCUUUUUUUCUGCAUACUAUAAAUAAAUGUGAAUUAUGCACAUUGCAUGGGUGAACAACGUUUGUAAAGCCUACAUCUAAAUCAACUUUAUCUUCUGUAACAAAGCGGCUGAAGAGGAUUAUGCUACUGUUGCCACAGAAACUUAGUGACCAGUGGAAAGAGAGAGUGUGUGAGUGGGGGGUGUCCAUGAAGAGGGUAGAAGCAGACGGAGAGGCGAUUCAAUCAGACGUACAGACAACCCUUCGCCCCCACACAGCAGACGGGUUUUAUUGAGGUGACACAGAUUCCUAAAGAGUCCAACAAGUCUGCCACCAUGUUGCACCCUUUAAUCAUCGGCAUUGUGACCGCAAACACCUCUCUGACCGUAUUCUAUUGGAUUUUCAUCCUGGGCGAUGCCUACUUCAGGUGGCUGGACGAGCCAGAAGACAAACCCCAGAAGGUGGUCACCGCAGCCUGAGGGAGACACAGUCAAUAUGGACUGACUGAAUGACUGUGUGUCAUUCCUUUUUGCUUAGAUCUAGUCAGAAACAGCGGUUCAUCUUGUAGUGCUUUCUGUUGAGUCUGCUUUUGCAUUCAAUCUGCUUUUUGUAUUGCAUGGAGAAGAUUUGGAAACCCCUUUUGGUUAACUUACCUUUUUUUUUACUUAACUGAAUUGAUCCUGCAAGUGAAUGAGGAGGGAGUCAUUCUUACAGAGCCAACUGAGCACAGCACGCACCCAUUUGGAAGUCCUUUCAUUCACAAGUCACAGAAAAGAGCUGAGGAGUUUCAAGUCUUGAUUACAAGACUGGAUUCUUGGGCCCAAACCAGUGGAAGAUGAUUCAGAGGAAGGGAGAACAGAAAUAGAAGAAGAGCGGCGACAGAGCGUUUCCAGUAAGCUGAUGGAGAAAGACAAGCUGGAGAUAGAGAAGGAAAAGGCUGGGCCGCUGCCUGGUUUCAACCGGGAAAGCGGAGGCUGCCGCCGUCCAUCCACCCCUCCCCCACUGAAAAGCGCCAUCGCUUCAUCAUACACUGGAGAAAAAAGAACAUCUAUUCAUAGUGUGACAUUCGCCUGCCCCAUGACCCCUUAUGCCACUUCACUUUGAUUUUUGCAACAUUGCUUUUUUUUUUUUACAGCAGUG